Molecule: non-coding RNA, 64 nt
Organism: Potamilus streckersoni
Lineage: Eukaryota; Metazoa; Mollusca; Bivalvia; Unionida; Unionidae
Source: the annotation of a GenBank genome assembly
GUAGCCCAGUGGUUAGAGCGUCCGCCUCGGAUGCGGGUAGUCGCAGGUUCAAACCUCCGGCCCA